Molecule: long non-coding RNA, 1072 nt
Organism: Acinonyx jubatus (cheetah)
Lineage: Eukaryota; Metazoa; Chordata; Mammalia; Carnivora; Felidae
Exons: 3
Source: RefSeq, a predicted model, not a curated record
UAGUGUUUGGAUGACUGCAGAGCAUAUUUAUGGUUGAUUUGGCAUUCUUGGGAGAGAGGUGUUGUUCAAGCAUGAGGCAAGAUUUUAUUGAGGAAACAAAAGCCCCAUGGAGGUCAAAUUCCACCAGCACGCAAAAGGCGACUGCUCCUUAUAAUUUCUGGAAGCUGCGGCCAGCAGUUGGAAAGACAGCAUUAGCAAUAGCAUCACUAAGCCCUGAGAAUGCAGCUGGAAAGGGACUUCGGGAUUCUACAGGACAAAAGCUUCCACUGGAAGGUGAGGGCACAAUGUCUGCUUCUUUGCAGUGAACCUGAUUUUCCUGAUCUGUACGGGCAGCCUUCCCUUCCUCAAAGGCACUUGGCAGGCUGCAAAGGAAGGAUGGCAUAAAGUCUUUUGUGCCUAGAAGAUGCUCAGUCAUGGCACCAAUAUCUUCUCGUUCUCCUGAAAGUGGAAAUCCUAAACCUACAGAGAAUCAGAGAUGUGGAAAUAAAUUCUGCUCUUAGAGGCCACGUGACUGGUGCCCCGCCACUCAGCUGCCCAGUCUGGAGGGGGAAGAGUCACUCUGCUGCUACCGGCUUAAAGUGUAAACAUGUGCCCACAGUGUUUCUACUGACAGCACCCAAGGUGCUGGGAGAACAGCCUUCGCUUGCAGGAACAGUGGCUCUCCUGGAAAAGCCAGCUUGCUUGGCUGGAGUUGAGCCAGCAGAGCUGGCUCUCGCCCUGGCAAAUUCUCUAUCACUCCAAGGUCCAGGAGACUGGGAAAACUGGCCAGCGUCAGGGGGCCUCCCUCUGUACCAGCCUCCGGGUUCUUGCUCGGGGUGCUGGUUGGUGGCCUAGAAUACAACCGGUUUGAAUUCACCUCUUUCCACUGCCUGCAUUCAUAGGACAACUUACCUCUCACCUUACCGUGUUUCUAGAAGAGCACAGUUCUGAAUUCAGAAGUUACCAAGGAAUCGGUUUGGAGACUAUCCAGUGUUUAUGGGCAUCUUAAAUUCUUUGUUCUCUGUGGCCUAAAUGAAUUGGAAAUUCAAACUGGACUUCAAUCAAAUUUGGCAUAAAGACCAGGACAGCAAAC